ACUCGGAUAGCUUAAUUAUUAAAGCUUAAUAUUGAAGAUAUUACGAUAAAAUUUAUUUUUCUGGGUA
RNAcentral lists this transfer RNA (67 nucleotides) under Valleriola javanica. RNAcentral describes it as "tRNA-Phe". The record is from RNAcentral. RNAcentral also lists the same sequence under 1 other name. Lineage: Eukaryota; Metazoa; Arthropoda; Insecta; Hemiptera; Leptopodidae.